UACGGAGGGUGCAAGCGUUAUCCGGAAUCACUGGGUUUAAAGGGUGCGUAGGCGGUUCGAUAAGUCAGAGGUGAAAGCUAGCAGCUUAACUGUUAAAUUGCCUUUGAUACUGUUGGACUUGAAUCAGGUUGAGGUAGGCGGAAUGUGACAUGUAGCGGUGAAAUGCAUAGAUAUGUCAUAGAACACCAAUUGCGUAGGCAGCUUGCUGGGCUUGAAUUGACGCUGAGGCACGAAAGCGUGGGGAUCAAACAGG
RNAcentral lists this ribosomal RNA (253 nucleotides) under uncultured bacterium. RNAcentral describes it as "partial 16S ribosomal RNA". It matches the Rfam family "Bacterial small subunit ribosomal RNA", at positions 524 to 776 of the family's 1533-position model. The record is from RNAcentral.